This 451-nucleotide ribosomal RNA is filed under the name uncultured bacterium. Its description in RNAcentral is "partial 16S ribosomal RNA". It matches the Rfam family "Bacterial small subunit ribosomal RNA", at positions 28 to 523 of the family's 1533-position model. The record is from RNAcentral.
AGCGAACGCUGGCGGAAUGCUUAACACAUGCAAGUCGCACGGGGGUUUCGGCUCGAGUGGCGGACGGGUGAGUAACGCGUAGGAACGUGUCUUGGGGUGGGGGAUAACGCUGGGAAACUGGCGCUAAUACCGCAUAUGGGCUGAGGCCCAAAGCCUUCGGGUGCCUUGAGAGCGGCCUGCGUCCGAUUAGCUAGUUGGUGGGGUAACUGCUUACCAAGGCGACGAUCGGUAGCUGGUCUGAGAGGACGAUCAGCCACACUGGGACUGAGACACGGCCCAGACUCCUACGGGAGGCAGCAGUGGGGAAUAUUGGACAAUGGGCGGAAGCCUGAUCCAGCAAUUCCGCGUGGGUGAAGAAGGUCUUCGGAUUGUAAAGCCCUUUCGACAGGGACGAUGAUGACGGUACCUGUAGAAGAAGCCCCGGCUAACUUCGUGCCAGCCGCCGCAGUAA